UACGAAGGGGGCUAGCGUUGCUCGGAAUUACUGGGCGUAAAGCGCACGUAGGCGGUCUUUUAAGUCGGGGGUGAAAUCCUGGAGCUCAACUCCAGAACUGCCUUCGAUACUGGAAGACUCGAGUCCGGGAGAGGUGAGUGGAACUGCGAGUGUAGAGGUGAAAUUCGUAGAUAUUCGCAAGAACACCAGUGGCGAAGGCGGCUCACUGGCCCGGUACUGACGCUGAGGUGCGAAAGCGUGGGGAGCGAACGGG
This 253-nucleotide ribosomal RNA is filed under the name uncultured bacterium. RNAcentral describes it as "partial 16S ribosomal RNA". It matches the Rfam family "Bacterial small subunit ribosomal RNA", at positions 524 to 776 of the family's 1533-position model. The record is from RNAcentral.